GACGUAGGAGGCGAGCGUUGUCCGGAUUCAUUGGGCGUAAAGAGCACGCAGGCGGUUUGGCAAGUCGGACGUGAAAAUCCGGGGCUCAACCCCGGACCUGCAUCCGAAACUGCCCGACUAGAGGUAGGUAGGGGAGAUCGGAAUUCCUGGUGUAGCGGUGAAAUGCGCAGAUAUCAGGAGGAACACCGGUGGCGAAGGCGGAUCUCUGGGCCUUACCUGACGCUCAGGUGCGAAAGCUAGGGGAGCGAACAGG
This 253-nucleotide ribosomal RNA is filed under the name uncultured bacterium. RNAcentral's name for it is "partial 16S ribosomal RNA". It matches the Rfam family "Bacterial small subunit ribosomal RNA", at positions 524 to 776 of the family's 1533-position model. The record is from RNAcentral. RNAcentral also lists the same sequence under 1 other name.